GGUGGACUAAUCUAGCCCGCGUCUUUCGGGCCGUGAGUGCUGGGUUCGGUUUACCAUCCUUCUAGAGUGUCAUGUCUACUCUUCAUUGAGCCGGACAUGCCGUUCUAGAUCAUUUACUUUGAAAAAAUUAGAGUGUUUAAAGCAGGCUGACGCUAUGAAUACAUUAGCAUGGAAUAAUAAUAUAGGACUUCGGUUCUAUUUUGUUGGUUCUUAGGGCUGAAGUA
Molecule: ribosomal RNA, 224 nt
Filed under: uncultured fungus
Lineage: Eukaryota; Fungi
Description: partial small subunit ribosomal RNA
Rfam family: Eukaryotic small subunit ribosomal RNA (bases 104-224)
Source: RNAcentral